UGAGUGCUAAAAGAAUGGAUUUUCAAAAAAAUUCUUUUUGAAAUUUAAAAAUUGAAGUUAUUUUUAUUUGUGAAGAAACAAUAAUUUAAAUUAAAGACAAGAAGACCCUAUGAAUUUUUAUAAAUUUAUAUAUAUAUAUAUAUAUAAAUUUAUUUAAUUGGGGCGAUUAAUAAAUAUAUUUAACUUUAUAUAAAAAAUUAAUAUGAUCCAUUACUAAUGACUAAAUGGAACAAAUACUCUAGGGAUAACAGCGUAAUAAUUUUAGAUAGAUCUUAUAGAAAAAAUAGUUUGCGACCUCGAUGUUGGAUUAGGAUUCUUAUUUAAU
This 325-nucleotide ribosomal RNA is filed under the name Haemaphysalis sp. R6a. RNAcentral describes it as "partial large subunit ribosomal RNA". The record is from RNAcentral. Lineage: Eukaryota; Metazoa; Arthropoda; Arachnida; Ixodida; Ixodidae.